Molecule: non-coding RNA, 2384 nt
Organism: Macaca mulatta (Rhesus monkey)
Lineage: Eukaryota; Metazoa; Chordata; Mammalia; Primates; Cercopithecidae
Source: RefSeq, a predicted model, not a curated record
UUAGAAGUUUAUCAUAUAAUGUGAAUGAAAAAGACCAUUUUAUUUACCCCUUCACUAAAGAUUUUAGAAAUCUCAUAUUCCUAUAUAGUUUCUCAUAUACUAUGCUCAAAUUCCUAACCUCUAUUCCAGGUAUGGAAUAGGACUAUAGUCUUCAACCUUGAAGAUUAAAUUCUCAUCCACUCUCCAAAGAGUGUGUAUUCUGAAUGGCUUCCCCAGAAGUGGGGGUGAAUUUGACAAAUUACUAAACGACAAAGAAAAGAGCACAGACUGGAUUCACUUAUCCUUCUCUUUGACAGCAUCACUCAUUAGCUGUGUUACUGUUCUUGAGAAUUUACAGCUUCUCUUCACUAAAAUUCCAUGUACUUUUUAGUUCUGGAUGUUUGUGUGUUACAGCAGAGCAACAGCUUUUAAAUGCCAGUGGAUGGUAGAGUUUUUAUUGCCUCUGUGAAAUAAGCACAAUGAAGUAAGCUUUUCAUAAAGGUAAAUGUUUCUAACCUAAGAACAGCGCCUUUAGUCUCAGAGAUUAUAUCCUUUUAUUUUUUAUUGUUAAACUUUCUUUUAUGAAAUUAUGAUGAUAGUAGAUGUAAAGAUUUUAGAAAACAUCCUUCCUUUGAAAAUUGGUUGGCAAAUUUAUGUCUCCCAAACUUUUAAAAAAACUUUCAUAUGUCUGUAAAUUUAAAUGUAUGAGCAUAAUGCAGAAUGCCUUUUAUGUCUGUUUCAGAACUACCACUUCAUGUCUAACAAUGUUAAGUAAUUUUACCUCUGACUCAUGUAUCUCCAGUUUUGGAAGUAGAAAGAGGUGGACUCAAGGAAUUAUUCUAGGCUGAGGACAUGUUGGUGGAAAAAGAGUAUUUCCAUUCCCUUGUAAAGUUCAGAAAACAUGUUUUAAGUUUUUUUCUUUCCUACUGGAAGAUCUGAAUUACGUGCCCUGAUCUCUGGCACAGUGUUACUUGAUAUAUUUUAAACAUUGUUGUUUUGGUUAAGUCAGCAGUAACAUGUGCACUCUAUAAAUGUCAAACAUAAAAUGCAACACACUCAGCAUUCUAUAAAGCAUGGCAAACAAUUCAGCAUUGCAGACAUUUGAAAUAUCUAUAGUAUAGCUCAGCUCAUUCUCACUUGGAACAAAGAAAUUCUUUUCCCCCCAGUUCUUAUGGCUAACACAGAUUAGGAAAGCUCAAGAAUAUUUCCUUGCUUCUUUCAGAAGAAAAGGCUUUUGAUAAACAUGCUGGGAGAAAUCAUGAAAUAUUAUGAAUUUGUAGUGUUUAAAAACAUAGAAUAUUUAGGCAUGUACUGUUAUUUUUCAAAAAUCCCAUUUGAUUUAACCCUUUAUAAUUUACUUUAAUCCUCAUGCCAUCCCUUCAAGGUAUAUGUUGCUAUCCAUGACACAGAAGAGCAUAGAGAGGCUGAGUAUAACUUAAGCAGCUCAGACGAAGUUACAUAGCUAAUGAGUGAUGCCGUCAAAGAGAAAGGGCAACAAAAAUAGUCACUGGAGGAAUUAUGCCAUGGACUCCUGUUGAUUUAAGGAACUAUAAGAAACAUUUCACUGCACUGUCACAACAGUGAAUCAGCUAAGAAGCCUGGCCUCCUCUGCUGCUCUGUGUCUACAUUCAGGCAUCAAGAAGCAACCAUAUGGUGGUUUUAAUACAACUCAUCUCUGUGAAUUAUAAUCUCUAAUAUGUGUGUGUGCAUCUCCCAAGGAUAUUGAAGUUUGAGCUCUAGGGGAAAAAUUAUACACAACUUUAUUCUUGAGAAAUAAACAAUUCAUUACAAUGCACCCCUGGUUGGAGCAUGCAUAGGAGUGUGAGGUUCACACUCCAAAGUCUUUAUUCAUUGACAGAGUUAAAACAGAAGAAAAAUAACAGAAAAAUCAUGGUAAAUGUUAUACAUUCCUUUAAAGUACUAUAUUAAUAUACCAGGAUUAAGAAUGACCACAUCAAUCACUUUUUUUUUGUAUGCCUGGGACACGUACAAGGUGAAAUAGUUGCACACCUCACCUAGGGGUGACUUUGUAUUGUUUGGAAGAAAAGAACAAACAAAGUCACACUGUGAUUGAAUCCUGAGAUUCUAUCCUAUCCUGGGGGAAUCCAGAGUAAAGCCAUUGGGUUUCCUUUAGCAUACCAAUCAGCAGGGGCAAGCGAGGGCCAGCCUGGUAUGAAGGUGACAUCAGAGACAUCUGUGUCCCUAGAAUUCUAAUAGCGCUCUGAAGUGUGGGCUUUAUACUAUCAUCUGAAGGGCUGUGCAUAGAAGCGUAAUGCUUAAGAAACACCCUUUGAUGAUGAAAAUAUAUGGCACUUCAAAAUAGCCUGCUUUGUGAAAAAACAAUCUGCCACAUUUAAAUUCUGAAUAUAGCUAACACUGAAAUAAAAUUGUCUGGAUUAACUGUU